This is a long non-coding RNA of Anguilla rostrata (American eel), 550 nucleotides long. RefSeq lists it as uncharacterized. NCBI's taxonomy places the organism in Eukaryota, Metazoa, Chordata, Actinopteri, Anguilliformes, Anguillidae. The transcript has 2 exons. The record is from RefSeq and is a predicted model, not a curated record.
GGUAUGUUUUAAAUAUGCUACUAUUUUAUGGUAUAUUUAUUGAUUGGUGUUUGGUUCAAAUGUGCUCCUUAAACGAUGACAAUGUUAAUGUUUCAUGUUAGAAUUAUUGGGGUCCUGUUUAUGAUUACUGUUGCUUUGUGCAUGCUGUAUGUUUGUUGCUCUCUUUAAAAGAGUAUGUAUAAUGCAUGUUUAAUUUGCGGGUUUUCCGCUCUCUUUUAAGGAGCGUGCAGGAUGAGUGAUAUGUCGUGGCAGCUAUUUCUUUAUUGACUGGCCUUUAUUCGGCCAGGAUUCACAGUUGUGUUACUUCAAACCAGUGCCGUGGUUUUAGUUUGGUUGUUCACUUAGCGAAGUUUACGCAAACUUUUAAGACGGAUGUUUCUUCAUAUAAUGGACUGCACUCUGAACUUUAGGAUCUAAUGACUUAUGGAUUGGUACCAACCUGCUGCUACAAAAUGUUUUGAAUUGCUGCUUUUUGAAAACACCAACGUUUUUAAUCUUCAAAUUUAUUUAUCUAUACUAAGCAUUUAAUAAUAAAGCUGUUACCUUGUAA